Molecule: ribosomal RNA, 305 nt
Filed under: Methanobrevibacter sp. CIRG-GMbb01
Lineage: Archaea; Methanobacteriati; Methanobacteriota; Methanobacteria; Methanobacteriales; Methanobacteriaceae
Description: bacterial SSU rRNA
Rfam family: Archaeal small subunit ribosomal RNA
Source: RNAcentral
UUUCGCAGCCCUUAGUUACCAGCUUAUCCUUUUUUGGAUGAUGGGCACACUAAGGGGACCGCCUAUGAUAAAUAGGAGGAAGGAGUGGACGACGGUAGGUCCGUAUGCCCCGAAUCCUCUGGGCAACACGCGGGCUACAAUGGCUGAGACAAUGGGUUCCGACACCGAAAGGUGGAGGUAAUCCUCUAAACUUAGUCGUAGUUCGGAUUGAGGACUGUAACUCGUUCUCAUGAAGCUGGAAUGCGUAGUAAUCGCGUAUCACUAUUGCGCGGUGAAUACCUCCCUGCUCCUUGCACACACCAGAA